UCAGCAAAGCAAGAUUGGACGGUCCAGAUCUCUAAAGUACGUCAGCACACAGAAACCCUAGCCGCACUCCCGACCCAGCCGACCACACCGUCUCCUCGCGUUCUCUCUCACGAGAGGAGAAAUCAGCGAAGAAAGCACCGCCGCUUCACCCGCGUCGCCUCCUCCGCCGCCAUCCCUUUUCCUCCCUCUAACUCCCUAAUUCCGCCGAGCUUCUUCGCCGCAACCACCAUUCGUCGUCCAAGUUUCAUCGUCUGUUGGAUCCAGCGCCUCACAGGUUCUGAUCGAUUCCGCUGGCCAUCGGUGCUUCCUCCACAUCCAGACCAUGACCCAUCAACUCUUGGACUGAUCCCAUAUCGACCUGCACAACAAGGGGAUAGCUUUAGCAGCAUCCAGUACUAGCUCAUGUGCAAAAUUGCUAUGGAUAAACGUUAUGAUGUGAUGUUUUUAUCGAGCUAAAGCACUACAUUUCUUUGCAACGCAAGUUCUAUUGAAGAGAUCCGUUUGUACAUAUGUCAGACCACCUUCUAAUUGCGCUUUAUAACCACUUAGUUUCCCUAAUAUAAUCCACUGUACGCAUGCGCCACUUUUCUGUGGUUGCUAUUUUUGCUCAAGUGUACAUGAUCAUACAGAUAGCACUCCAAACAAACCGAUCAAAACAACUCAUAUUUGAACUUUGGUGGUAUGGUUCGAAUGU
RNAcentral lists this long non-coding RNA (694 nucleotides) under Oryza sativa Indica Group (long-grained rice). RNAcentral's name for it is "lncRNA OsPr106_08g0007760". The record is from RNAcentral. Lineage: Eukaryota; Viridiplantae; Streptophyta; Magnoliopsida; Poales; Poaceae.